This 1586-nucleotide long non-coding RNA is filed under the name Helianthus annuus (common sunflower). RNAcentral's name for it is "hypothetical non coding rna". Lineage: Eukaryota; Viridiplantae; Streptophyta; Magnoliopsida; Asterales; Asteraceae. The record is from RNAcentral.
AUGAAUUCAUCGAACUUCUCAUUUUCCAAGUUGUUCAAAGAAAUGAGCUUCUUCGUUCCAGGUAGUCAUUAUUUACCUAUAAGUUAAUGUAUAAGUUAGAUGUUAUUGAUUUUUUUAUUAAACGCUAGAACAUAGUAAGGCUACUUAAUUUUUUUUAACGAAGAAAAGGCUGAUUCACAUCAUAUUAGAGCAUUACGCUUCUUUGAUGUGAUAAAAAAAUGUGUUCGCCAAUAGGUAAAAAAAAACAUAAUGUAAGUUUGAAACAAAAACAAAAACAACACGAAAAGGAGGUCCUUGAUGAUCCAAGAGUUCCACACCUUCUUAAUCACCCUUGUGCACCAUGAGAUAACCUUGGAGUGGAUGAUUGAUGAUCGAAAAUGGUGGUCGUGGGGGGGGGGGGGACUAUGCUCGGCCGAAGAUGGGAGAGAGGGGAAGAAGAGUUGAAGUGUGGAGAAGAUGGUGAUGAGUUCAAGUUCUUAUAACCACUAAUUGUUGAUAACCAAAGGUUCAUGUGCUCCCUCAAGUACUUGAACUUGAAUCUUGAAUCAUAUGAUGAAAUAUGAUGAUAUAUAGAUGAUGAACUUCUCAUUUUCCAGGUUGUUCAAAGAAAUGAGCUUCUUCGUUCCAGGUAGUCAUUAUUUACCUAUAAGUUAAUGUAUAAGUUAGAUGUUAUUGAUUUUUUUAUUAAACGCUAGAACAUAGUAAGGCUACUUAAUUUUUUUAACGAAGAAAAGGCUCAUUCACAUCAUAUUAGAGCAUUACGCUUCUUUGAUGUGAUAAAAAAAUGUGUUCGCCAAUAGGUAAAAAAAACAUAACGUAAGUUUGAAACAAAAACAAAAACAACACGAAAAUGUCGCAAAUACUAAAAGCUUUAACGUUUUUGUAACGUGUAUUAGUAUAUCUCAGAAAUCUCAGUUUCUUCAGUAUUAAAGUUAGUACAAAAUGUCCUAAGCUAUGUUUCUCAAAUACCAAUAGUCUCAAAUGAUCUAACAACCCUGUUAAAAAUUUUCUUUUGUUAAUACCUUUUGAAGGUAAAAACUUAAUAGCCUUGGGUACAAAAGAAAUGCCUUGACAAUAUCCUUUUUAUUGCUUUUAUGUUAACCACCAUGUCUACAAACAGUGUUUGGGAUAGAUUAUAAUUUGUAUUCAUGAGAAUAGCAUAUCCCAAAUACAGAGUUUUUAAGGGAAUUUCUUUAAAAGCGGUGAUUUUUUGCAAAUAAGCACACUAAGAGUGUAUGAAAAAAGAAUUACAUAUCUGGAGAGAAGUGUGGCUUAAAAAGUGUAGCUCCUACUAGUUGAGCAUCAUAUUCCCUUUCUAUGAACUCGCUUUGAAGAUCAUUUUUGUACAAAGUUUCCAUACCUGUCAAGUCGUUUAGAUUGAAGGUGGUGGAUAGUGAUUCUGGUGUGAUCUAAACAUCGGUACCAUCAACCUUGGAAAUAAUUGUAACGCCCUGGUUUUUCGUAACUUUCCCUAUUUAGAAAGCAUGUCUUGUAUUUCCAUUUUUUGAAGCUCGUUUCCUUUGUAAUCAUAUUUCGUUUCAAGCUAUUGUAAAUCCGAGACUUUGAUCGUAAUGAAAUGAAUCUUU